RNAcentral lists this ribosomal RNA (238 nucleotides) under Escherichia coli. RNAcentral describes it as "partial 16S ribosomal RNA". It matches the Rfam family "Bacterial small subunit ribosomal RNA", at positions 1296 to 1533 of the family's 1533-position model. RNAcentral also lists the same sequence under 3 other names. Lineage: Bacteria; Pseudomonadati; Pseudomonadota; Gammaproteobacteria; Enterobacterales; Enterobacteriaceae. The record is from RNAcentral.
GAUUGGAGUCUGCAACUCGACUCCAUGAAGUCGGAAUCGCUAGUAAUCGUGGAUCAGAAUGCCACGGUGAAUACGUUCCCGGGCCUUGUACACACCGCCCGUCACACCAUGGGAGUGGGUUGCAAAAGAAGUAGGUAGCUUAACCUUCGGGAGGGCGCUUACCACUUUGUGAUUCAUGACUGGGGUGAAGUCGUAACAAGGUAACCGUAGGGGAACCUGCGGUUGGAUCACCUCCUUA